AAAAUCGGUAAUUGAUGAUUUUGACGUCUAUUUUCUAACGAACUUCGUUAAUCGAUUCUUGAACUACCGAAGUUCGUUUAGAAACGUGUAAACAAAUCGGUUUGUCAUCAUUUUUUCGGUAAAAAACGCCGAGUAAACUGUAAAACAAUCCUGCUGUCAUAUGCCGCUGUCAAAACUUACGUCAAACCCCGUCUCACUCUCACAGCCGUGAUUAGUUAAUCGCAUCUCGCUUUCGCUCAAGAAAAGCUAGUCGUCUCGAGUUUUCCCUUGUACGCGAGCGGGAUGUCUUGCAUCAAGCAGCCGUUGAUCAGUUGCGAGCAAAAAAAGCGCAAUGCACGCAAGCGGAAUAGUUUUUUUUUUGUUUUCACGUAGCAGCAUCGGGAGCUUCAUCUUCAUCAUCACCCAUCCCACCAGCAGCAGUAAUCGUAGAUUGGAGCCGUUCAAUGUACAGCUGCUGGUCGGUGAAAUGAUUAAUCCUCAAAAGCAACAACUAGCGUUUCCGGACCAGUACUUAAAUAAGUAGUCAUGGUACCAACAGUUUCAUCAGCAUCAUUUGACGGGUCGCAGAAACACUAUUUUAUUCAACCGGGUUGCAUAAAUGGAGGAACAAUCCAUCCGACGGACGAAAGCAACCAAGUCUUUGGUCACCCAUCCAUAACAAAAAAAAAACCCUUUAAUUCUAUUCUGAAACCGAUAUUUAUCCAUAUUUUUUUACUCUUGUCGUGUUCCAGACAAUGACUGUUAACAGGCAGUUCAGCGCCGACUUCGGCUCCGAUAAAUAUUGCCAGCUCUACUGACCAGACGAAUCACACUAACAGCAGCAGCCUCUACAUUAAAAUGUACAGCUCCUGUGGCAGUUCACAGUAUGUACAAUUCAUUCUACAAUGGCAGCUACAUCCCUAUUUCCCACGACGUGGCCCUGUUACUGAUCAAAUUUAUCAAUUGUUUUCGUGCGGUGGACACUUUGCACGAUGUUCUUACGAUUGAGAUUUUGAACAAGGAGAAAAUCAAGGAAUCUGUUCAUUACGAAAUUAUUUCAACCUCAAACAAAAUGAAAAUUAACGAGCCUAUUGAAAGAACCGUAUCGCGGAUGAGAUAUAAGAACUUAAAUAUUCUUCAAAGGAGGUCAUCAAGUUAUUCAUCAGAGUCAGGAGUACCUAUAUAUCACUCUAUCAACUGACGAACAAAUUACACAACAGUUGAAAGCUGGUAUUUUCACCUUAUUGCUGUUUGGGUCAUCGCCUCGGACACAAUGCGGCGAUAGUAACAUUAAAUCAGAAAUGGAGCUUCUUUCCGGUUUUAGCUUGGUUCACCUUCUCCCCUUAUUGCUUUGGCGAACAUAGCAGGGCAGCGAAUAAUUAUAUUCCGGCCAUAGUAGCAACCAAGUCUGGAGUAUACAAUGCUUUGAUGGAUUUCAAUAACUCUCCGAAAACGCUGUAGCUCAUCCAACGCUUCUGUCGAUAAGUAUAUUCCUUCCGGGAAUACAGGCUAAGUUUCAAUUCAUCUACAGGAAUACUAGGAGAAGUGGUGACUGAAAUUUAACAUCAUUGUCAUCGACCCUUUUUACUUGAUGAGUAAUCACAAAAAAUAUCAUUGACGACUUUUUCCAAAGCACAGCCAGAGAUAAAAUGCCAAGAAGCACAGAGGUCUUGCAACCAAUGUUCGAAUAGAAUGACCAAGAAAUUUCAACUCGUAGUACUAUAGAAGUUGGACUGGAUUAUUCUUAUUGUGUCCAACUUCAGCUGAUAAGUUUUAAAACAGUUUUUGAACCCAACACAAUAAAAAUAUGUCUGCGAAAAGUUUAUAAUAAAUCGCUCAUCGGCUUCCGGUCCCUUCGGUUUCUGAGCCUCCAUAUGGGCCUUUUACACAUUGACGAGGAGGCCUUUAUCCUGGCAACAGUUUUUCCAUCAACGGCACACACAUUAACUUAUUCAGUACCGGCAUGGUUUCAGGAGCAUAAAAUAUUAAUUAAAGAAGAACAUUGUAGCUUAAGAAUCCUAAUACAAAAAUUACGAAGAAAUCUUACUGAAAAAGGAAUUGCGACUAAAGUAUUUUCUUCUUUUAUGAUAAA
This is a long non-coding RNA of Uranotaenia lowii, 2071 nucleotides long. RefSeq lists it as uncharacterized. NCBI's taxonomy places the organism in Eukaryota, Metazoa, Arthropoda, Insecta, Diptera, Culicidae. The record is from RefSeq and is a predicted model, not a curated record. The transcript has 7 exons.